This 377-nucleotide ribosomal RNA is filed under the name uncultured eukaryote. RNAcentral describes it as "SSU rRNA". It matches the Rfam family "Eukaryotic small subunit ribosomal RNA", at positions 587 to 972 of the family's 1831-position model. The record is from RNAcentral.
AGCUCUGUAAGCGUAUACCAAAGUUGUUGCAGUUAAAACGCUCGUAGUCGGACGUUGGCGGGCGCGGUGAGACGGCUUCACGGUCGUUCUUGCUGUGGCCGCCUUUGUGGAGGGGGGUUCGUGUGGUGCUUCAUUGCCUCGCCGAAUCGCUGCCACCGUUUACUGUGAAAAAAUUAGAGUGUUCAAAGCGGGCGUUUGCCAUGAAUACAUUAGCAUGGAAUAAUAGAAUAGGACCUGGUCCUGUUUUGUUGGUUUGUGAGUAUCAGGUAAUGAUUAAGAGGGACGGUUGGGGGCAUUUGUAUUCCGGCGCUAGAGGUGAAAUUCUUGGAUUGCCGGAAGACAAACAGCUGCGAAAGCGUCUGCCAAGGACGUUUUCA